GAUCAUGGCUCAGGAUGAACGCUAGCGACAGGCUUAACACAUGCAAGUCGAGGGGCAGCGGGGGUAGCAAUACCCGCCGGCGACCGGCGCACGGGUGAGUAACGCGUAUGCAACUUACCUAUCAGAGGGGGAUAACCCGGCGAAAGUCGGACUAAUACCGCAUGAAGCAGGGAUCCCGCAUGGGAAUAUUUGCUAAAGAUUCAUCGCUGAUAGAUAGGCAUGCGUUCCAUUAGG
This 234-nucleotide ribosomal RNA is filed under the name uncultured bacterium. RNAcentral's name for it is "partial 16S ribosomal RNA". It matches the Rfam family "Bacterial small subunit ribosomal RNA", at positions 15 to 245 of the family's 1533-position model. The record is from RNAcentral.